RNAcentral lists this ribosomal RNA (1182 nucleotides) under Triticum aestivum (bread wheat). Its description in RNAcentral is "partial small subunit ribosomal RNA". The record is from RNAcentral. Lineage: Eukaryota; Viridiplantae; Streptophyta; Magnoliopsida; Poales; Poaceae.
AUGGUAGCCAAAGCCGACCACCCCGCCUGGCUCCUCACUGCGGCCGAAGGCUACGUCGGUGACCGGUCCAACGAGAGGACCGCCAGAGGCAUCACGAGUAAGGGCCUGAGCAUCAAGGCGUCUUUUUUCCCCAACCGCCCGCCACAACCAUCAAAGCUGUGGGUGCACUGCCCAGAGGCCGCGGUCGUCCAGACUCCCCGUGUCCUCUACAUCGCCGGUGACCUGAUCCUCUUCCGGGUCCCCAUCUCUUCCGAUCCUGUCCCAGAAAACCGUUUCUUUUGGCCGCUGGAUAGCGACUAUUUCGUCUACCGCGCUGACCCCAAUUUGCGAGAGCUCAAGCUCCUCACCGACGUGCACAUCAGAAAUUUCGAAGACUGUCAGACAUCUAGCUGGACCUCCAUCGUGCCGCCUGUGGUGGAGCCACAGGAGGGCUUCAAUAUUGUCAUCCCCACUAACACGGAUCUUCAUCGCCAUGAUACUUCCAACGUUAUCACAAUCGGUGGUGAGUACGGCACCAUGGGUUGGGUCGAUCUCUGGCGAGGCAUCCUGUUUUGUGAUGUGCUGUGUGAGAAGCCAACUCUCCGUGGAAUACCAUUGCCGCUGCCGAUGUAUCAUAUCACAGGCGGCGAUGGGAUGGGAUUAUAUUUAGACCGUGCAAUGGAUUGCCGAGGCAUUGCCUUCAUCAAUGGCUGUCUCAAGUUCGUCCAACUGGACAUCAGCGGCUCUUGCCUCUUACAGUACAUAGACGGGGAAACAGGGUUUCCAACUUUGCUGGUGUCUGACUGGGCGAUCUCCUCAUGGACCAAUAAGAAGAUGGAGAAUUCUUACAAAGCUUGGGGGGAUGCUGAAUGCACGGUCCAAGCUUCUGAGGUCACAAUCAAAAGCGACAUGGUUUCACAACCGACUGGAAGGCUGCUGCUGCCAUCAGAGGAUAGUGUUGAGAACCCAGAACGAAAGGCAGCCUACUUACCGCACCUUGUGAUCUCUGACCCCUCUCCGAGCUUGGAUGGUGAUGGCGUUGUUUACCUAAUUGCCAGGGAGAAAUUAUAUCACCAAAAGUCAUGGGUCCUUGCUGUUGACAUGAAUAGCAAGACGCUGCGAAGUGUUGCUCCCUUUGGCAUGGUAGAAGACCCAUGUGAUUCUGUCGUGUAUUGCACUAGCAGGUCUGCCUCCAAUACUUGA